Long non-coding RNA from Manis pentadactyla (Chinese pangolin), 315 nucleotides. RefSeq lists it as uncharacterized. The record is from RefSeq and is a predicted model, not a curated record. The transcript is spliced from 3 exons. Lineage: Eukaryota; Metazoa; Chordata; Mammalia; Pholidota; Manidae.
GCCCGACCUAGUUUCUUCAGCGGAGAUCCUGAGGAGAGAGGAGACUGAGAAGGCCGCGACCGAGGAGGACAAUUAGGACCCUGGUCCGAGCCACCAGGACACUCUCCUUGAGGACUGCAGUAGCCCCCCACUGGCCCACUUCUGCACUCCUGACCCACUGCAUGUAUUCCUCACACAGUAAUGGAAUCAUCGUAAAAACAAGUGUUGACUCAAUGCUACACAGAAAAUUCCAGGAAACCAUCUCCAUAGGGGAGCCAAUAAGGCCUACUACCAGUUACCUUCUUUCCAUAGACAGUAGCAAGAUGUUUUGGGGAU